CCCGCACAAGCGGUGGAGCACGUGGUUUAAUUCGAUGCAAACCGAAGAACCUUACCUGGGUUUGACAUGUACGUGGUACGGAUAUGAAAGUUGAAGGACUCCGCUUUCGGGUGGAGAGCGUACACAGGUGCUGCAUGGCUGUCGUCAGCUUGUGUCGUGAGAUGUUGGGUUAAGUCCCGCAACGAGCGCAACCCCUGCAUUCAGUUGCCAUCGGGUGAAGCCGGGCACUCUGGAAGGACUGCCAUCGACAAGAUGGAGGAAGGUGGGGACGACGUCAAGUCAUCAUGGCCCUUAUGUCCAGGGCGACACACGUGCUACAAUGGCCGGCACAACGGGAAGCGAGUUCGCGAGGACGAGCGGAUCCCUUAAAGCCGGUCGCAGUUCGGAUUGAAGUCUGCAACUCGACUUCAUGAAGCUGGAAUCGCUAGUAAUCGCAGAUCAGCCAAGCUGCGGUGAAUACGUUCCCGGGCCUU
This 473-nucleotide ribosomal RNA is filed under the name uncultured Synergistaceae bacterium. Its description in RNAcentral is "bacterial SSU rRNA". It matches the Rfam family "Bacterial small subunit ribosomal RNA", at positions 920 to 1382 of the family's 1533-position model. The record is from RNAcentral. Lineage: Bacteria; Thermotogati; Synergistota; Synergistia; Synergistales; Synergistaceae.